AUGGUCCUGGGAUACUCCCAGGCGGAGGCUCAGCGGAUCGCCAAUCGCUUGAAUUGUCGAUUGGGAUCCUUCCCGACCACUUACCUUGGCAUGCCGAUUAGUGACACAUGGCUACUGGAGAAAGAAUUUCACCCAAUAGUCGCCAAACUCCAACCUAGGUUGGAACCUUGGCAGGGGAGAUGGCUAUCUAAAGCCGCUCGAGUCAUUUUGAUGAACUCCUCCCUCAUUAGUAUUUUCAUGUACAUAAUGGGAUUCUAUAGUCUACAUGAAUCCCUUCAUCAUGAGGUCACCAAACUCCUAUCUAGAUUCUUCUGGGCGGGUCAGAACAAUAAACAGAAGUACCGCAUGGUGAAGUGGUCCGAGAUCUGCAAGCCUAAGGACCAGGGCGGCCUGGGAGUCAUUUCAUCCAAACGGAUGAAUAUUGCCCUCCUCUCCAAAUGGCUCUGGCGUAUUCAGACCGAUACGGGAGGCCUGUGGCUCGAGAUUAUCCGCGCGAAGUAUCUCCGCGGGCAGCCACUGGCAUUCGCUCCCAGAUCUGGAGGAUCCCAAUUCUGGCAAUCAGUGAUCCGGCUGAUGCCGGUCUUGCGCAUAUGGACUUCUAUUAAAGUUGGUUCCGGGUCUGGCACAUUAUUCUGGCUCGAUCGGUGGGCGGGGCCUCGCCCGUUUGUGGAAUGCUUCUACGCGUUAUUCUCGACUUGUGCCCGACCACAACUCUCUGUAGCCGUGGCCUUAGCUGACUUGGGUGCCAUUGCCUUUCGCCGUACCUUCGGGGCGGUUGAGCUCGAGUAA
This 789-nucleotide ribosomal RNA is filed under the name Triticum aestivum (bread wheat). Its description in RNAcentral is "partial small subunit ribosomal RNA". Lineage: Eukaryota; Viridiplantae; Streptophyta; Magnoliopsida; Poales; Poaceae. The record is from RNAcentral.